AGCUACCCCGGUUAGGGAGGUGCUGUCCUGGCGUCGGGUGGGGACGGGGAGCGCGUCGAGGGUGCUGCGACUUCUGCCCACCUGGCCCGGCCUCAGUCUCUGAGUUCCUGUUCCUCACAGGAGCUAAUUAUUUAUGACAGCUGCAAGGUGCCCCUCCCCCAGUUACUCAGUGCUUGGCACUCAGCACCCCUUAACUCAGCACUCAGUACCGCACUCAGCCUCUGAGGACCUGGGCAGAGGGAAGCAGGGAGUCUCCUGCGGAAACUCUUGCUCUGCCAAAGGCCUGGACAGCGAAUGAGGAAGACUUACUGCAGAAAUUCAGAGCCUAGCAACCUGGACCAGGGUGGAGGCAGCAGACGAGAGACAAAGAUGUUCCUGCGAGUCACCUGCCUGGGAGUGGAACUGAGAAGCCCUGCAUCGAGCUGGUGCGGGACAGGGAGGUAAAGCCUGCGGUGAGGAUGUGGAAGGACGAGGCCACCCCAUGGGCAGCAGCCCUCAGAGUGGGCUGGGCCCGGCAGAGGAGAAGAAGCUGGGAUGUUGAUCCUUGAUGCCCACUUGUACUGUUCUGGGGCUGGCCCCACUGGCCCCCUGGGACCCAGAGAGAAAGGCCCUCGCUCUGGGCAUCACAGGCACGCACAGCCGGAGACAGGGAGGCACCCACAGGAGGACCCUCUGCGGCCUCUCUUUCAAACUUUUUAAAUGGUCUGCAAUUUUUAUUUUGAACUGUUUUGUUCUUUCUUUUUGAGCCAGGGUCUUGCUCCGUUGGCCAGGUUGGAGGGCAGUGGCGUGCAAUCGCGGCUCACUGCAGCCUCUGCCUCCUGGGAUCAAGCGAUCCUCCUGCCUCGGGCUCCCAAAGUGCUAGGAUUACAGGCAUGAGCCACCAUGCCUGGCCUAUUUUGAACUUUGUAUAAUAAGAAAACACUUUUUCCAUCUAGAAAACAUAAAAUACACCUGGGUGUUGCAUUGCCAGGAUUUCUGUCUGGAGAGAACCGUGUUUGGACUUAGUUUGUGAUCUGAGUAAUAUCGAAGGGGAGGUGACUUUAGCCAGUGAUUAUACUAAGUAGUAUCUUAUGCAAUUUGAAAAAGCUACAUUCAAAUUCUAUUAGUUUGCUCUAGGCCUGAGUAACAUAGCCACAUAGAAAGAUAGAGUUGUUUGUUUGUUUGUUUGUUUGUUUGAGGUAAGUCUUGCUCUGUUGCCCAGGCGGGAGUGCAGUGGUGAAAUCUCAGCUCACCACAACCUCCACCUCCCAGAUUCAAGCCAUUCUCAUGCCUUCUCAUGCCUCAGCCUUCCAAGUAGCUGGGAUUAUAGGCAGGAGCAACCACACCCAGCUAAUUUUUUUCUAUUUUUAGUAGAGAUGGGUUUCACUGUGUUGGCCAGGUUGGUCUCAAACUCUUGGCCUCAAGUGAUCCUCCCACCUUGGCCUCCCCAAGUGCUGGGAUUACAGGCAAGAGCCACUGUACCCGGCCAAAAAACAGAGUUUUAUAAGUCCUGUAAAAGCAGCAGACACCCUCGGCCCAAUGUUGGCUAACUCAGCAGCAAUUACAAGGCAUUAGGGUGAAUCUUCUCAAGCAAGAAUGUGAAUGGGAAACCACCUCCAUGUAAGAUUACCCUGCGAGAGCACAACACUGCUUGGCAUAGACACAAAAAAUAAUGAGAAGUUUUACACGACUAACAAAACAGGCAUAUUUUUUUUCCCCUGAGGCAGGGUCUUGCUCUGUUACCCAGGUACAGUGGUGUGAUCUCGGCUCACUGCAGCCUCCACUUUCUAGGCUCAGUGGAUCCUCCCACCUCAGCCUCCCCAAGUAGCUGGGAGUGCAGGCCCAUGCCACCACACCCGGCUAAUUUUUGCAUUUUUUGUAGAGAUGGGUUCUCACUAUGUUGCCCAGGCUGGUCUCAAACCUCUGGGCUCAAGUGAUCCUCCCACCUUGGCCUCCCAAAGUGCUGGGAUUAUAGGUGUGAGCUACAAUGCCCUGCCCCAAUAGGCAUAACUUUUAUCAAGAAGCUGAAGUAUAUAAACGUCAAAAAUGUAGCAAUUCUUAAUUUGAGGGCAUUUAGGUAGCAUUCGCUACAAAUGAGGGGAGCACCUCUAGAAAAUAGAAAAUACACUCAAAAGGAGGAAAGUGUAUAGAAAGAACAGAAAGAGCUAGUGAAAAUGAAUGAUGCCUCUGAAAUACAGCCAGUACUGGAUGUAACUUUAUGUUAGUCAAAUGCGUAAGAACUGGCCAACGAGGCCUGGUCAGGGAACAAAGGUUUUGCAAGGACUUUGGUAAUCAGGGUGAGAUUGAUAACCAUAAUGAAAGCCACAACAUUAAUAAUAAAAGAUCAAUGACACAGACAAAUAUAUUUAUAGAUCAUUGCCUCAACUGGAGGCCCGCGAAGGCCCAGAUGUAUCACUGCUUUCAAAUUUAUUUAUAGAUCAAUGUCCUAAUGUGAUAAAAAUACUGAAAACCACAACACAAAACUAUGAAUUUUUCCUUUUCUUUACUGUGCAAGAGAUGUCAGCCCAGGUCUAUGGUUCGGGGACAACUCCUUACUCAUCUGAUGAAUGGGAUGAACGGUGUCAGAGGAGGAGUUAACCCCGCAGCCAAAUUCUAAUAAACAACGGGCUCAAGACCCUUGUCGACAAGCUCAGCCCAGACUCCAAAGUUUCACUGGAAGCAUCUCCCACAGAAAUGGCCUUCUCCAUGUUGAAUACGACCCUACUGCUACAGCUUGGUGCCGUCCAAGCUCCGGGGAGAGAAAGAUGAACUUUCAGCUCCUGGCUCAGCCAUUCCACAGACAAUUAAUAUUGCAAAAGGAAAAGACUGAGGCUACGGCGGGGCGGCCUCUGAAAGUUCAUUUCUGCCCACACGUAUCUGCCUUGAGUGUUCUAAGGCACUUACUCAUUC
Long non-coding RNA from Macaca fascicularis (crab-eating macaque), 2889 nucleotides. NCBI's taxonomy places the organism in Eukaryota, Metazoa, Chordata, Mammalia, Primates, Cercopithecidae. The record is from Ensembl.